AGAGUUUGAUCAUGGCUCAGGAUGAACGCUGGCGGCGUGCCUAACACAUGCAAGUCGAACGAAGCUCCUGCGACAGAUUCUUUCGGGAUGAAGAUGCUUGAGACUUAGUGGCGGACGGGUGAGUAACGCGUGGGUAACCUGCCCUGUACUGGGGGACAACAGUUAGAAAUGACUGCUAAUACCGCAUAAGCCUACAGAGUCGCAUGACUCGGACAGGAAAAAUUCCGGUGGUACAGGACUGGGCCCGCGUCUGAUUAGCUAGUUGGUGAGGUAAUGGCUCACCAAGGCGACGAUCAGUAGCCGGCUUGAGAGAGUGAACGGCACAUUGGGACUGAGACACGGCCCAAACUCCUACGGGAGCA
This 362-nucleotide ribosomal RNA is filed under the name uncultured bacterium. RNAcentral describes it as "bacterial SSU rRNA". It matches the Rfam family "Bacterial small subunit ribosomal RNA", at positions 8 to 349 of the family's 1533-position model. The record is from RNAcentral.